RNAcentral lists this ribosomal RNA (500 nucleotides) under uncultured bacterium. RNAcentral describes it as "partial 16S ribosomal RNA". It matches the Rfam family "Bacterial small subunit ribosomal RNA", at positions 30 to 523 of the family's 1533-position model. The record is from RNAcentral.
AUUGAACGCUGGCGGCAUGCCUUACACAUGCAAGUCGAACGGCAGCACGGGAGCAAUCCUGGUGGCGAGUGGCGAACGGGUGAGUAAAGUAUCGGAACGUGCCCAGUCGUGGGGGAUAACGUAGCGAAAGUUACGCUAAUACCGCAUACGAUCUAUGGAUGAAAGCGGGGGAUCGCAAGACCUCGCGCGAUUGGAGCGGCCGAUAUCAGAUUAGGUAGUUGGUGGGGUAAAGGCUCACCAAGCCGACGAUCUGUAGCUGAUCUGAGAGGACGACCCGCCACACUGGGACUGAGACACGGCCCAGACUCCUACGGGAGGCAGCAGUGGGGAAUUUUGGACAAUGGGCGCAAGCCUGAUCCAGCCAUGCCGCGUGCAGGAUGAAGGCCUUCGGGUUGUAAACUGCUUUUGUACGGAACGAAAAGGUUUGACUUAAUACGUUGGACUCAUGACGGUACCGUAAGAAUAAGCACCGGCUAACUACGUGCCAGCCGCCGCAGUAA